Long non-coding RNA from Etheostoma cragini (Arkansas darter), 144 nucleotides. RefSeq lists it as uncharacterized. The transcript has 3 exons. Lineage: Eukaryota; Metazoa; Chordata; Actinopteri; Perciformes; Percidae. The record is from RefSeq and is a predicted model, not a curated record.
CUACCAUGCAAAGAAAAGACAUAUAUCAACAACACUCAGUAACGCCACCGGCUUCUCUGGGCCCGAGCUCAUCUGAGAUGGACUGACGCAAAGUGGAAAAGUCUGCUGUGGUCUGACGUGUCCACAUUUCAAAUUGUAUUUGUA